AGAGUAAGUCAGCCUAAUCUGGCUAAUGGCAAGUUUGCAUUAGUUAGAGCGGAGGAACCAUUCAAAGGGGCGUAUCCUGAGAAAGGGUCAAAUAUAAAGGGUAUGGGGAUAAAAAGAGGGGGCAGUAGUAACUUCAUCCUUUACACUUUAUACUUAAUCCUUCUCAGGGAGAGUAUCUCUCAACUCUAGCCCGUCAGCUAACUUCGUAGGCACUGAGAGGAGACUGA
Molecule: small RNA, 227 nt
Filed under: Tolypothrix bouteillei
Lineage: Bacteria; Bacillati; Cyanobacteriota; Cyanophyceae; Nostocales; Tolypothrichaceae
Also listed under: 1 other name
Description: c-di-AMP sequence
Rfam family: c-di-AMP riboswitch aptamer (ydaO/yuaA leader)
About the family: This family represents a conserved RNA structure found upstream of the ydaO and yuaA genes in Bacillus subtilis and related genes in other bacteria. The ydaO/yuaA element is thought to act as a genetic "off" switch for the ydaO and yuaA genes in its native state.
Source: RNAcentral